This 407-nucleotide ribosomal RNA is filed under the name Verrucomicrobiota bacterium. Its description in RNAcentral is "Verrucomicrobia bacterium partial 16S ribosomal RNA". It matches the Rfam family "Bacterial small subunit ribosomal RNA", at positions 355 to 776 of the family's 1533-position model. The record is from RNAcentral. Lineage: Bacteria; Pseudomonadati; Verrucomicrobiota.
UGGGGAAUAUUGGACAAUGGAGGAAACUCUGAUCCAGCAAUUCUGUGUGUGUGAAGAAGGUUUUAGGACUGUAACACACUUUUCGUAGGGAAGAAAAAAAUGACGGUACCUACAGAAGAAGCAACGGCUAAAUACGUGCCAGCAGCCGCGGUACUACGUAUGUUGCGAGCGUUACCCGGAAUUAUUGGGCUUAAAGGGCAUCUAGGCGGUAAGACAAGUUGAAGGUGAAAACCUGUGGCUCAACCAUAGGCUUGCCUACAAAACUGUUGAACUAGAGUACUGGAAAGGUGGGUGGAACUACACGAGUAGGGGUGAAAUUCGUAGAUAUGUGUAAGAAUGGCGAUGAUGAAGAGAACUCACGGGGCGGAAACUGACGCUGAAGUGCGAAAGCUAGGGGAGUAAACAGG